CCUACGGCGGAGCUGCAGUGGGGAAUAUUGGACAAUGGGCGAAAGCCUGAUCCAGCCAUGCCGCGUGUGUGAAGAAGGCCUUCGGGUUGUAAAGCACUUUCAGUGGGGAAGAAAGCCUUGGGGCUAAUACCCUCGAGGAAGGACAUCACCCACAGAAGAAGCACCGGCUAACUCCGUGCCAGCAGCCGCGGUAAUACGGAGGGUGCGAGCGUUAAUCGGAAUUACUGGGCGUAAAGCGCGCGUAGGCGGUCUGAUAAGCCGGUUGUGAAAGCCCCGGGCUCAACCUGGGAACGGCAUCCGGAACUGUCAGGCUAGAGUGCAGGAGAGGAAGGUAGAAUUCCCGGUGUAGCGGUGAAAUGCGUAGAGAUCGGGAGGAAUACCAGUGGCGAAGGCGGCCUUCUGGACUGACACUGACGCUGAGGUGCGAAAGCGUGGGUAGCAAACAGGAUUAGAUACCCUAGUAGUC
Molecule: ribosomal RNA, 466 nt
Filed under: Vreelandella stevensii
Lineage: Bacteria; Pseudomonadati; Pseudomonadota; Gammaproteobacteria; Oceanospirillales; Halomonadaceae
Description: partial 16S ribosomal RNA
Rfam family: Bacterial small subunit ribosomal RNA
Source: RNAcentral